Molecule: long non-coding RNA, 246 nt
Filed under: Carica papaya (papaya)
Lineage: Eukaryota; Viridiplantae; Streptophyta; Magnoliopsida; Brassicales; Caricaceae
Description: long non-coding RNA (CPAP_LNC005917)
Source: RNAcentral
UUUCUUUAUUUCAAAGUGUCUAUCUUGCAAGGAAUAACAAACAUACCUUGGUCCUGACAUGUGGGGGGCAGUUUCCUCUUAAUUAUAGCUGAAACAUUUUCCCCAUACUUACCAUUUAAUUACAGCUCAGUCUUUUCUUGUUGGUGUACAACUCCUUUAAAAACUUGGCAUAUUGAGGUACUUGCUUAAUUAUAUUGAGUAGAAGAAUGUUUACCUUGACUUUGCAAAAAAAAUUUAGGAUCUCCU